UAGCCACGGUAAUACCAGCUCCCCGAGUGGUAGGGGCUAUUAUUGGGCCUAAAGCGUCCGUAGCUGGUUUUGUAAGUCUCUUGUUAAAUCCAACGAUUUAAUCGUUGGACUGCGGGAGAUACUGCAGAACUAGGAGGCGGAAGAAGCCGACGGUACUCUUGGGGUAGGGGUAAAAAUCUUAUAAUCCCCAAGAGGACCACCAGUGGCGAAAGC
Molecule: ribosomal RNA, 213 nt
Filed under: uncultured archaeon
Lineage: Archaea
Description: partial 16S ribosomal RNA
Rfam family: Archaeal small subunit ribosomal RNA
Source: RNAcentral